Molecule: ribosomal RNA, 332 nt
Filed under: uncultured Planctomycetota bacterium
Lineage: Bacteria; Pseudomonadati; Planctomycetota
Description: bacterial SSU rRNA
Rfam family: Bacterial small subunit ribosomal RNA
Source: RNAcentral
UGCGUAGGCGGCGCGGUCAGUCGGAUGUGAAAUCGCUCAGCUCAACUGAGCAACUGCGUCUGAUACUACCGUGCUUGAGGAAGGCAGAGGUGAGCGGAACUCAGGGUGGAGCGGUGAAAUGCGUUGAUAUCCUGGGGAACACCGGUGGCGAAGGCGGCUCACUGGGCCUUUUCUGACGCUGAGGCACGAAAGCUAGGGUAGCGAACGGGAUUAGAUACCCCGGUAGUCCUAGCUGUAAACGAUGAGCACUAGAUCGAGGAGACCUCCACAUCUUCUUGGUCGUAGCGAAAGUGUUAAGUGCUCCGCCUGGGGAGUAUGGUCGCAAGGCUGAA